Small nucleolar RNA from Apodemus sylvaticus (European woodmouse), 142 nucleotides. RefSeq annotates it as small nucleolar RNA SNORA48. The transcript has a single exon. Lineage: Eukaryota; Metazoa; Chordata; Mammalia; Rodentia; Muridae. The record is from RefSeq and is a predicted model, not a curated record.
UCCCCCAUGGCAAUGGGCAAAGAGACACCUUGUUGGUGUUGUUCUCAUAUCAGACAGGGACAGAGCAGUUGGCAGUCCUUUGUUCAUCCUAGCCUGAUGCCUGGCUUGGUGGCCAAAGCUGGUUCAUGCCUAGGACACAUGA